GAUGAACGCUGGCGGCGUGCCUAAUACAUGCAAGUCGAGCGAACGGACGAGAAGCUUGCUUCUCUGAUGUUAGCGGCGGACGGGUGAGUAACACGUGGAUAACCUACCUAUAAGACUGGGAUAACUUCGGGAAACCGGAGCUAAUACCGGAUAAUAUUUUGAACCGCAUGGUUCAAAAGUGAAAGACGGUCUUGCUGUCACUUAUAGAUGGAUCCGCGCUGCAUUAGCUAGUUGGUAAGGUAACGGCUUACCAAGGCAACGAUGCAUAGCCGACCUGAGAGGGUGAUCGGCCACACUGGAACUGAGACACGGUCCAGACUCCUACGGGAGGCAGCAGUAGGGAAUCUUCCGCAAUGGGCGAAAGCCUGACGGAGCAACGCCGCGUGAGUGAUGAAGGUCUUCGGAUCGUAAAACUCUGUUAUUAGGGAAGAACAUAUGUGUAAGUAACUGUGCACAUCUUGACGGUACCUAAUCAGAAAGCCACGGCUAACUACGUGCCAGCAGCCGCGGUAAUACGUAGGUGGCAAGCGUUAUCCGGAAUUAUUGGGCGUAAAGCGCGCGUAGGCGGUUUUUUAAGUCUGAUGUGAAAGCCCACGGCUCAACCGUGGAGGGUCAUUGGAAACUGGAAAACUUGAGUGCAGAAGAGGAAAGUGGAAUUCCAUGUGUAGCGGUGAAAUGCGCAGAGAUAUGGAGGAACACCAGUGGCGAAGGCGACUUUCUGGUCUGUAACUGACGCUGAUGUGCGAAAGCGUGGGGAUCAAACAGGAUUAGAUACCCUGGUAGUCCACGCCGUAAACGAUGAGUGCUAAGUGUUAGGGGGUUUCCGCCCCUUAGUGCUGCAGCUAACGCAUUAAGCACUCCGCCUGGGGAGUACGACCGCAAGGUUGAAACUCAAAGGAAUUGGCGGGGACCCGCACAAGCGGUGGAGCAUGUGGUUUAAUUCGAAGCAACGCGAAGAACCUUACCAAAUCUUGACAUCCUUUGACAACUCUAGAGAUAGAGCCUUCCCCUUCGGGGGACAAAGUGACAGGUGGUGCAUGGUUGUCGUCAGCUCGUGUCGUGAGAUGUUGGGUUAAGUCCCGCAACGAGCGCAACCCUUAAACUUAGUUGCCAUCAUUAAGUUGGGCACUCUAAGUUGACUGCCGGUGACAAACCGGAGGAAGGUGGGGAUGACGUCAAAUCAUCAUGCCCCUUAUGAUUUGGGCUACACACGUGCUACAAUGGACAAUACAAAGGGCAGCGAAACCGUGAGGUCAAGCAAAUCCCAUAAAGUUGUUCUCAGUUCGGAUUGUAGUCUGCAACUCGAGUACAUGAAGCUGGAAUCGGUAGUAAUCGUAGAUCAGCAUGGUACGGUGAAUACGUUCCCGG
Molecule: ribosomal RNA, 1368 nt
Filed under: uncultured bacterium
Lineage: Bacteria
Description: 16S ribosomal RNA
Rfam family: Bacterial small subunit ribosomal RNA
Source: RNAcentral